CAGCCAAGUCGUGAGGCGGAGCUAAUCCCUUAAAGCCAUUCUCAGUUCGGAUUGUAGGCUGAAACUCGCCUACAUGAAGCUGGAGUUACUAGUAAUCGCAGAUCAGAAUGCUGCGGUGAAUGCGUUCCCGGGUCUUGUACACACCGCCCGUCACACCACGGAAGUUGGGGGCGCCCGAAGCCACUUAGCUAACCCUUUUGGGAAGCGAGUGUCGAAGGUGAAAUCAAUAACUGGGGCGAAGUCGUAACAAGGUACC
This 256-nucleotide ribosomal RNA is filed under the name uncultured bacterium. Its description in RNAcentral is "partial 16S ribosomal RNA". It matches the Rfam family "Bacterial small subunit ribosomal RNA", at positions 1247 to 1500 of the family's 1533-position model. The record is from RNAcentral.